Dama dama (fallow deer) is the source of this 1719-nucleotide long non-coding RNA. RefSeq lists it as uncharacterized. Lineage: Eukaryota; Metazoa; Chordata; Mammalia; Artiodactyla; Cervidae. The transcript is spliced from 3 exons. The record is from RefSeq and is a predicted model, not a curated record.
GGCAGGACGCCACAGCAAUCAGCGCGCGGGGGGAAGGGCGCUCCUCCUCCGCGGUCCCCACCGGAGCUCCGGGCCGCCGAGAAACUCCUCCUCCCGCCGCCCGUCUCCCCGCUCUCCUCCCCCUUUUCCUCUCGGGCUGAUGGAUGAACCCCGAGCGCGGCCGGAGCCUGCGUUUCCCUUCGGACCGAGGAGGGAGGGAGAGGAAAGGAGUACUGGGGACGUCUGGGGUGCUGCGCGCCCAGCCUCAGGAUCUUUUCCAAUGAGUCGGUUCUUUGCAUCAAGUGACCAAAGGGUUGGAACUUCAGCAUCAGCCCUUCCAAUGAAUAUUCAGGGUCGAUAUCCUUCAGGAUUGACUGGUUUGAUCUCCUUGGAUGUACUACCUGUCAUCAGAAGCUUUACAUUAUUGGCGAAAUUAACAAAGAUUAGAAAAUGAUGCAGAGAGUGAAGAAACUUGCACAAAGUCAAACAACCAGCAAGUGUAACUUGGCUGAUUGACCCAGAGUGUGCUCUGAACCUCCACUUUAUGCUGCUACAGGUGAAAAUAGAGCCCCAUCCAUCAAAGCAAGAGUCAUAUUCUUAAAGCUCAAUUCUUUUUUUUUUUAAAGCUCAAUUAUUUAAAAGUUUCAAAAGAUAAAGUUUGUUGAGAAAUAUUACCCUCCACCACCACAUAAAAAUCAAUUCCUUUCACCCAGGAAAGAGGAGAAGAGACACUAACUUUAAAGUUUGUCUGAAAUAGCCAAGAUCUUGGAAGCAAUUGCAUAACUCCUCUUAAGAAUGUGUGACAGAACAUGAACCAACUGUUCCAAAAUUGUUGUGACAGGAGACUGGUCUACAAACUACAGUCUCUGCUCCUAUUUUCUGCUCGGCUGACCUAUUAUUACAGCAAGAUUUACGACCUUAUUUCUAAAAUUUGCCCAUAAAGAUUCCAAUUCAUACCUGUAGGUGUUUUAUAUAUCACCAUAACCUAAAAGCCAUAAUCUAAAGCCACAUUUUCUAUAUCUAUAUCCAAGAUUAGAAUAUGAUUUUCACUGAUAAAAUUUGCAGCUGGCAAAUUUCAAAUUAAUGAGGAAAAAAAUACUCUCAGAUGAGCCUGUUUGCAGAGCAGAGCCCAAAACAGACACCUGAUUCAGGCCUGGUGGAUUCCUCAGAGAAUUUGGAAAUAAAAAUCCAAAGCAAAUUCCCUUCCAGUAAGCCCAAGUUCCUGCAAACUUGUCAUUUCCUGUGCCUGUGCGGAGCCUCCAAUGGCAGUUUCCACAAUGCACCUUCAAUUUCCCUCUCAGCGGGUCUUCUGAAAAAGCAGGAAACCUCACACCAUUUCAAAGGAAUAGCAAACCCCACUGAGAUCCCUGUGGUCUUAGCUCCCUAGGGGAUGAGGCCGAGCUUCUGCUCCCCCUGCCUCAGGUGCGGAGACUCCAGAGGGAAGGCUUCUCCCCGGCCCCCACCUCCAUAGGUGCCCUGCAGAGAACUUUCGUUUUGGCCUAGAGAAGAGAAAAAAUCACAAACAUCUUAUUUUGUGACAGGGGGACCAAAAAAAGACCAAGAGCCCCGUGCACAUAUAUUAAUAUCUGUGAAUGUUACAAAUCUUAUUACUUUCAUUUAAUGAAUAUGAGAAAUGCUGAAACACCACUUGUAAAAAUACCAAAAUUUAAUAUUUCCAUUGCUAUUGUUCCUCUGUUCUCAUUGUUAUCAUUACCCUUUACUGAGCACUCACUCUGUGUA